UGGGAGAUAGUUUAAGGGCAAAACAACGGGUUCUGGCCCCGUCAAUCUUGGUUCGAAUCCAGGUCUCCCAG
RNAcentral lists this transfer RNA (71 nucleotides) under Chloroflexota bacterium. Its description in RNAcentral is "Chloroflexi bacterium tRNA-Gln". It matches the Rfam family "tRNA". From Rfam's summary of the family: Transfer RNA (tRNA) molecules are approximately 80 nucleotides in length. The record is from RNAcentral. Lineage: Bacteria; Bacillati; Chloroflexota.